UCAAGCGAAUAAGGGUUCACAGAGGAUGCCUAGGAGCCAUAAGACGAAGAAGGACGUGAUUAGCUGCGAAAAGCCAUGGGGAAAGGCCAAUACUUUAAGAUCCAUGGAUAUCCGAAUGGGGUAACCCAGCAGAUAAAAUAUCUGUUACUAUAACACCAAUACAUAAUGUUAUAGAGUUAGACGUUGGGAACUGAACCAUCUAAGUACCAACAGGAAAAGAAAUCAAAAGAGAUUCCCUUAGUAGUGGCGAACGAAGAGGGAGAAGCCUAAACCUAUUAUGUGUAAGACUUACUUUGUUGCAUAAUAAGGGGUUACAGGGUCAUAUGAUUAAGUUAGUAAGGACUUAAGUACAGUAAGAAAACUAAUAUUGAGUGGAAUUGUUUUGGGAAAGCAAGUCAAAGAGGGUGAAAGCCCCGUACACGAAGGUAAUAGACUGUAUAAUAUGAAACCUAAGUACGACGGGACACGAGUAAUCUUGUCGGAAGUUGGGGAGCCCACUCUCCAAGGCUAAAUACUAGAUGGCUACCGAUAGCGCAUAGUACCGUGAGGGAAAGGUGAAAAGGACCCCGGGAGGGGAGUGAAAUAGAACCUGAAACUGUGAACUUACAAGCGGUCAAAGCAUUGAUUUAUUGAUGUGAUGGCGUGCCUUUUGUAGAAUGAGCCUGCGAGUUACCAUAUGUAGCGAGGUUAAGAGAUAGGAGUCUUGAAGCCGAAGAGAAAUCGAGUCUGAAAAGGGCGAAUAAGUUGCAUGUGGUAGACCCGAAGCCAAGUGAUCUAUCUAUGUCCAGGUUGAAGCGCAAGUAAUAUUGCGUGGAGGACCGAACCUAAAUCCGCUGAAAAGGGUUGGGAUGAGGUGUGGAUAGGAGUGAAAGGCUAAACAAACUUGGAGAUAGCUGGUACUCCCCGAAAUAGCUUUAGGGCUAGCCUUGUAUGGAUUGUUACGGAGGUAAAGCACUGAAUAGACGCGGGCCCUUCACCGGGUACCAACUUUAAUCAAACUCUGAAUGCCGUAAUACAAUGUACAGGAGUCAGACUGCGAAUGAUAAGGUUCGUAGUCGAAAGGGAAACAGCCCAGACCGUCAGCUAAGGUCCCCAAGAUAUGCUAAGUGGGAAAGGAAGUAUAAUUGCAAAGACAGCCAGGAGGUUGGCUUAGAAGCAGCCAUCCCUUAAAAGAGUGCGUAAUAGCUCACUGGUCGAGUAGUUAUGCGCCGAUAAUGUAACGGGGCUAAGCAUAUCACCGAAGCUACGGCAUAUAUACAUAAGUAUAUGUGGGUAGGGGAGCAUUCUAUGUACUGAUGAAGGUGAGUUGAAAAGCUUGCUGGAGGGGAUAGAAGAGAGAAUGCAGGCAUGAGUAACGAAAAGACAGGUGAGAUCCCUGUCCGCCGAAAGCCUAAGGUUUCCAGGGUAAAGGUAAUCUACCCAAGGGUUAGUCGGCCCCUAAGGCGAGGACGAAAGUCGUAGUCGAUGGGAAACUGGUCAAUAUUCCAGUACCUCUGUAUAUUGUGAUGGAUUGACGCAUAGAGCGAAACACAGCAAGGCGAUGGUAGUCCUUGUCUAAAUAUUAAGCAGUUAAUUAUACUAGGCAAAUCCGGUAUAAGAUGUGAGAUAUGAAUGCGAACUUACUUACGGGUAAAGAAAGUGUGUGUAGUUGUCGUGCCAAGAAAUAGAUUCUAAACAAAAGAUAUACAGGGACCGUACUAUAAACCGACACAGGUGGGCGAGCUGAGAAUGCGCAGGCGCACGGAAGAAUUCGCGUUAAGGAACUCGGCAAAAUACAUACGUAACUUAGGGAGAAGUAUGGCCUAUGCGAGAGUAUAGGUUGCAGAGAAAUGGCUCAAGCGACUGUUUACCAAAAACACAGGUCUAUGCGAACCAGCAAUGGGAAGUAUAUGGACUGACACCUGCCCGGUGCUGGAAGGUUAAUAGGAGCUGUUAGAAUUUAGUUCGAAGCAGUGAAUUUAAGCCCCAGUAAACGGCGGCCGUAACUAUAACGGUCCUAAGGUAGCGAAAUUCCUUGUCGGGUAAGUUCCGACCCGCACGAAUGGUGUAACGAUUUGAGCACUGUCUCAACGCGAAAUCCGGUGAAAUUGAAGUAACGGUGAAGAUGCCGUUUACUUGUGGUUAGACGGAAAGACCCCGUGAACCUUUACUUUAGCUUGGCAUUGGUACUUGGAUCUAAAUGUGUAGGAUAGGUGGGAGACUAAGAAUUAUGGGCGUCAGCUUAUAAGGAGUCAUUGGUGAAAUACCACCCUUUUAGAUUUAAGUACCUAACUGAGUCCAUUAUCUGGAUUUAGGACAAUGUCAGGUGGGAAGUUUGACUGGGGCGGUCGCCUCCUAAAGAGUAACGGAGGUGCACAAAGGUCACCUUAGGAUGGUUGGGAAUCAUCUUUCAAGUGUAAAGGCACAAGGUGGCUUAACUGCAAGUCCUACAAGACGAGCAGAUACGAAAGUAGGUCUUAAUGAUCUGGCGGUAGCGAGUGGAAGCGCCGUCACUUAACGGAUAAAAGGUACUCCGGGGAUAACAGGCUGAUCCUGCCCAAGAGUUCAUAUCGACGGCAGGGUUUGGCACCUCGAUGUCGGCUCAUCGCAUCCUGGGGCUGGAGCAGGUCCCAAGGGUUUGGCUGUUCGCCAAUUAAAGCGGUACGCGAGCUGGGUUCA
RNAcentral lists this ribosomal RNA (2658 nucleotides) under oral metagenome. Its description in RNAcentral is "bacterial LSU rRNA". It matches the Rfam family "Bacterial large subunit ribosomal RNA", at positions 3 to 2613 of the family's 2925-position model. The record is from RNAcentral.